GUGGGGAAUAUUGGACAAUGGGGGGAACCCUGAUCCAGCCAUGCCGCGUGUGUGAAGAAGGCCUUUUGGUUGUAAAGCACUUUAAGUGAGGAGGAGGCUACCGAGAUUAAUACUCUUGGAUAGUGGACGUUACUCGCAGAAUAAGCACCGGCUAACUCUGUGCCAGCAGCCGCGGUAAUACAGAGGGUGCAAGCGUUAAUCGGAUUUACUGGGCGUAAAGCGCGCGUAGGUGGCCAAUUAAGUCAAAUGUGAAAUCCCCGAGCUUAACUUGGGAAUUGCAUUCGAUACUGGUUGGCUAGAGUAUGGGAGAGGAUGGUAGAAUUCCAGGUGUAGCGGUGAAAUGCGUAGAGAUCUGGAGGAAUACCGAUGGCGAAGGCAGCCAUCUGGCCUAAUACUGACACUGAGGUGCGAAAGCAUGGGGAGCAAACAGGAUUAGAAACCCCUGUAGUCC
RNAcentral lists this ribosomal RNA (451 nucleotides) under uncultured bacterium. RNAcentral's name for it is "partial 16S ribosomal RNA". It matches the Rfam family "Bacterial small subunit ribosomal RNA", at positions 354 to 796 of the family's 1533-position model. The record is from RNAcentral.